Molecule: long non-coding RNA, 195 nt
Filed under: Rhinopithecus roxellana (golden snub-nosed monkey)
Lineage: Eukaryota; Metazoa; Chordata; Mammalia; Primates; Cercopithecidae
Description: lncRNA (ENSRROG00000046075.1)
Source: RNAcentral
GCCUGACGGGCGAAGGUCGGCGCAGCAGAGGGAGCGGCGCGCGCUGGGCCGCAGGAGCUCGCGGGUCGGAGGGUCUGACUUGGGCGCGUCUCCGCAGCGCCUUGAGCUCGCUUCCUCCUGCUCUCAGGAAAAACUGAGGAAACGCGCCUGGUUCCAGGGGUCGGCGGGGACCGUGGAGACUCUGCUAGCAUCCUC